This is a long non-coding RNA of Pan paniscus (pygmy chimpanzee), 1999 nucleotides long. The record is from Ensembl. Lineage: Eukaryota; Metazoa; Chordata; Mammalia; Primates; Hominidae.
GCUCCAGGACCCAGAGGAGCGUGGGGAAAGUAUCUUAAUGGAGACAGAUUUCGAACUCCUGCUGUCCCUUUUCAGAUCGUAAAUUACCGUUAAUGCUGUUUAUACUCUUCCCCCUUCCUCUCUUAAUAGUUUUAGAAACAGUAAUUGACAACAAAAUAGAGCCGCAAAGCGUGUAAGGGAGCCCUGCUUGGCUGGCUGAGAAGCAGCCAACUAAGUGUCUGUUCAUCAUGUACGUCUCUGCAACAGAAGUAAAAGAUUUACCCACACAGGUGCCCUUCCUUGCUUUCCUUUCGUCAUUUUGCUGUGAUGGAGCAGGCCUGGCCAUGCACUGAAUAUGUCCUGAGAGCUAAUGUGGUAUCGACUGGUUAAAGCUGAGAAGAGCAAUGAUGAGGAGGAGGCAUAAGCAGAGAGGAGGUUGGAAGGAAGAACAGUGGCCUGGAAGGAAGAGAGAAGCAUGCGUCCCAGCAGUCAGGACUGGAAUUCAAGUCACUACAAUAGAAGCAGAGCAAAGGAGCCCUUUAGACCUCCCAUCUCAGAGGACCUGGUUGAUUUCUCAAAUCUCUUCACUUCCAUGGGUUAUAACAAUGACGAGGAAAUGGAGGCUGAGCAACUUGCACAAGGUCACACAGCAAGUAAAUCAUAGCACAGAAAGCAUGAGACCAGUGAUACAAGAAAAACUUUAGACAAGAAUUCAAGUGUCUGUAUUGGUGAAGGCGAAAGUCCUGCUUGACUGAGGCCUCCGUAGCCUGUGACUCCAUCUGAGCAGUGUCCCUUCAGAAGCUGCUUAAACAUUUCCCUGAGCUUAAAGAAUUGCACUGCACUCUGGGUAAGCAUGGUGUCUAUUAUAUGGUAUUGAGAUUAAUUAGAUGAAUCUGCCUUAGAUGAGGGGAUCUCCAGAAAGCAUCCAAACCAGGCUGCACACAGGACAGCUUUUGUGAUAAAGCAGAGUCUUUAGAGAGAUGUAUUUGGACUUCUACAAGUUCUGAUGAGAUCCUCACUCUCCUUCAGAUGUGAGGCUCCAGAAGGAGGACUUUAGGAUCUAGAAGUUUGCAUCCCAGUGUCUCCCGGAGAAUGUUGCUAAUCUGUUUGCUAUGAAUUCUGACUUUAUUAACUUUCUUCUGAAUCUUUAAAAUAAACAAACCCUAUUUAAUUUACCUGAGGAAUGUCUAUGCCUGUCAGUCCUUCAUUCUGAGCUGGCUAUUUACAUUUGUAAAUGUAAAUAUGAAGGCCAUGAAGGAAUAGAAAUAAACUUGAGCUCACCUAAGCGGAAAAGUAGUAUCCUUAAAUUUAAGGACAUAUGCAGAAACACCCAAAACCUGUGUUCCAAUUCUGGGAAAGAUAAUCAGAAUGGUGUAUCUUGGAUUAGGGGAUUUAAGACUCCCAAGUCAAAUAAGUUACAGCCUUGUGACAAUGUAAGGAAUUCAAUUGUAUUAACUGAUGACUUCCCAGUGGAUGGUGUGAGGCAGUGGUCAGUGAAGGGUGAUUGUGGAUUUCUAGUAAUUCGCUAUAAAGAGAGGUAUGUUGGGAACUCUCAAGAGUCUCUCGUGGUUGGGCAUACCAGUGUCCAUCGAUGUCCAAUUUCUUCCCCAUUCAUGGUGCAAGGAAUAUACUUACCUUCUUUAGCUCCCUUGCAGUUAAGUGGGUGCCAUGUGACUUAUUCUGGCCAAUGAAGGAUGAAUGGAAGUGAAAGAUAUCACCUCUGAGCUGAGAUAGUAAAAGGAGCAUAUGUCUUUCCAGUCUUGCUCAUUCCUGCCGAAUCAGCCAAGGAGGAGGCAUAGAAUGGCAGUGGUGUCUCCAACAGUUUAGAAUUUGAGGUUACCCCACAGUGAAGGUGUAUUAGUCCAUUUUCACUCUACUGAUAAAGACAUACCUGAGACUAGGAAGAAAAAGAGGUUUAAUAGACUUAACAGUUCCGCAUGGCUGGGGAGGCCUCACAAUCAUGGUGGAAGGCAAGGAAGACCAAGUCACAUCUUACAUGGAUGGCCUCAGGCAAAGAGAG